GCCCUCCUCGUUCAAUGGAGAGGACGGCGGCCUACGAAGCCGCGGAUGGAAGUUCGAGUCUUCCGGAGGGCACCA
This 75-nucleotide transfer RNA is filed under the name Bacteroidales bacterium. Its description in RNAcentral is "tRNA-Arg". It matches the Rfam family "tRNA". Rfam says of the family: Transfer RNA (tRNA) molecules are approximately 80 nucleotides in length. Their secondary structure includes four short double-helical elements and three loops (D, anti-codon, and T loops). Lineage: Bacteria; Pseudomonadati; Bacteroidota; Bacteroidia; Bacteroidales. The record is from RNAcentral.